Long non-coding RNA from Penaeus monodon (black tiger shrimp), 241 nucleotides. RefSeq lists it as uncharacterized. NCBI's taxonomy places the organism in Eukaryota, Metazoa, Arthropoda, Malacostraca, Decapoda, Penaeidae. The transcript has 3 exons. The record is from RefSeq and is a predicted model, not a curated record.
GGCGGCGUCAGCUGAUUACAACAACAAACAGCCGGUUAGAGCACAAGACCUCUUCCUCCUCAAUCUCUCAAAUUUAACUCUGGGCAGAAUGACAGGAGUAUUAGAAAGAAAGAACUACUUGUGGGUAAAAGACCAACAGAUUUUUUGUGUGUUGGGCCUCUUUUGAGGAAAAACCGAAUGACAUAGUGCUAAUCAUCCCAGGAAAUCCAGGUGUGACAGGCUAUUACACCAGCUUCAUGGA